Long non-coding RNA from Crotalus tigris (Tiger rattlesnake), 890 nucleotides. RefSeq lists it as uncharacterized. The record is from RefSeq and is a predicted model, not a curated record. The transcript has 3 exons. NCBI's taxonomy places the organism in Eukaryota, Metazoa, Chordata, Lepidosauria, Squamata, Viperidae.
AGGAAGGAAGGAGAACCAAUGGUCUGACAUAAACCAGCCUUCUAUAUUUCUAUAUUAGUUGAAAUAAAACUGCAUGCAGAUAAAGCCUGCAAAAAUGUGGGACAUAUGAAUUUGGUAGCACAAGCAAUGCUGGUGCUGUGACAUGUCUCCUUCUUGCAAAAUCAAGGCAUCAUACGACUGAUCCUGUCACCUCUGCUGCCUCCCCGAGCAGCUUCCCAGUUCAGAUGUUCAGCCAUGACCUCUCCCAGAGGCAUCACCUCAUAGGGUUUGAGUUCAGCCACACCUUGAGCUGCUCGGCCAGCAAACCAAAGACAGAGGGCUCUUCCAAACACCCGGCAUGCAAAGGGCAUUUCAAGACACCCGACUUCCUGCAGCUUAUGCAUGAGCAUCGAUGGAACGCUGCCUGUUAACCAGGAAACUGUUCCCAUGGCAACCCAUCUCUUGCAUUUGAAGAAAACAGGGAUGAGAAGGCAAAGAGACAAUGGUGACAAAAGAAGAUGCAGUUUCAAUACGAAAUGGGCACCAGGAACAAAAGCCUGAAGGCUUUGUCAUCCUCUGACAUGGGAAUAUCCACCGAUUCCAGGUCCACCGAUUCACCUUCUCCUAAUUGACAUGACGCUUCAGAUGCGCCAGAACCUGAUAUCUGAACACGCCCCGUCUGUGAUACAGGAAGGCUUGGUGGUGCAAACAACUCCUUUUGGAAUUUCCAGUCCAUAAGAUCCAACUGGGGCAGUGGGUGCUGAAUCGUAAAUGGAAGGAGGAACUUCUACAACCAAAGAAAGGAAGUUCCUUAUAUGAAAUCUGCUGUCCGGAGGGCUGAGAAGGGUUGGACUCACUACACAUGAGCAAAGGUGGUGACUGGACCUGAAAGAGGGUGGACGGUUAUUCCA